RNAcentral lists this unclassified non-coding RNA (220 nucleotides) under plant metagenome. Its description in RNAcentral is "partial contains small subunit ribosomal RNA, internal transcribed spacer 1, and 5.8S ribosomal RNA". The record is from RNAcentral.
UCUCCGUAGGUGAACCUGCGGAGGGAUCAUUACAGAGUUCGUGCCCUCACGGGUAGAUCUCCCACCCUGUGUUAUUAUACCUUUGUUGCUUUGGCGGGCCGCCCUCGGCUACCGGCCCCGGCUAGUACGCGCCCGCCAGAGGACCCCAAACUCUGAAUGUUAGUGUCGUCUGAGUACUGUACAAUAGUUAAAACUUUCAACAACGGAUCUCUUGGUUCUG